RNAcentral lists this non-coding RNA (30 nucleotides) under Mus musculus (house mouse). The record is from RNAcentral. Lineage: Eukaryota; Metazoa; Chordata; Mammalia; Rodentia; Muridae.
UUCACGGCCUAAAUGGUGCUGCCGAAAAAC